GGGGGCGUUAAUGGUUUCGACGGGGAGCAUUGGUCAAAAUGUAAAGCAUGUGGUGUGCCUCCACCUAAUAGAGACAAAAACAAAUAAACGCAAACAAAAACGUAGUUAAAUUAGACAAUGCAUUUGCAUGCGCUGCUUAAUUUAACAAAAAUCAACUAGAUCAACAGGGUUUGAUCAUCCCACAGCGGCAUCGCUUGGUUGCUAGUUGGGGUCAACAAAAGCGCUCUUGCAUCAAAAAUUUGUCUUUAUAUUGAUUGCGAUUUUAAAAGACUUGCUAAAAGAAGUUGUUUAUGGCUUAACUUUUAGUGAAAUACAAUCAUAAACUAAACAUGUAGAAAAGUUUUGAAUCGAGUUUUUCGGAAGAGGGUUCGAAUCCCUCCGUCUCCACCA
Molecule: transfer-messenger RNA, 390 nt
Filed under: Christensenellales
Lineage: Bacteria; Bacillati; Bacillota; Clostridia
Also listed under: 1 other name
Description: Caccovivens sp902796285 Standard tmRNA
Rfam family: transfer-messenger RNA
About the family: Bacterial tmRNA, also known as 10Sa RNA or SsrA, is named for its dual tRNA and mRNA-like properties.
Source: RNAcentral